RNAcentral lists this unclassified non-coding RNA (837 nucleotides) under Hevea brasiliensis (rubber tree). Lineage: Eukaryota; Viridiplantae; Streptophyta; Magnoliopsida; Malpighiales; Euphorbiaceae. The record is from RNAcentral.
UAAUAAUUUGAGUUUGCCCCCACUUCUGGAUAUGUAUCUUUGCCCACACUUGGAUACACACCUCCAUAAAAACUUUUUUUCUACUUAAUAUCAUCCACUUCCAUAAAAUUAGAUUGUUCAUGCAUUAAAUUUGAAAUACAUUAAUUUGUGCUUGAGUGAAGAGUCACAAAUUAGCUUGAGUGAAGAGUGUAGGUUUGAAAUACUUUAUAAAAAGAUGAUAUCCAAUUUAAAUGAGUUAUCAAAUACAUUAUAAGUCAACUUUUAUUAAAAUAAAUCAUUAAAAAUAAAUCUAAAUCUCAUAUUUCAAAUCAUUUCAUAUAUAUACACACAAACCCGAAUGCCUGCAAAAGAGACAAUGAGAAAGAGGGUACAGAUUUACUUGCAUUUAUAAUGCCUUGCUACCUAAAAUUUCUAGAUCUGUCCCUAUCUAUAAUUGAAAUGGAACCACUGAUAGAAUAAGUGCCCUUCCAGCCAUAAUGCAUGAUACAUGACAUGCUCCAAAAUAUUGAGUUGCAAUGUCAAUUAUUAAUGUCAAGCCCCAUAUGGCACAUGUAAGGGUCUCCCAGUAUGUUGCUAAUAAAGAAACAGCCACAGAAUCCAAGAAGAGGGCAUUCAACCAUCAUCAAAAUGUAAUUAAGAGAUACCGUUUUCAGAUUCAAUCAGUUAACAUCAUCAAGACCUUGCAAAAUAAUGCUUAAUAUGGAAUAAAAGCUUAUUUUCUAUGUUUAUUACUAGACUCUUCUUCCUCUAUGGUGAAUUACUUUCAACACAACUCCUCAUCUGUGCAAUUUAAUAUUUCAUGAUUCAAGCUUGUUCAAGCUAUCAACUUCAAAUUUG